GUAGGGAAUCUUCCACAAUGGGCGCAAGCCUGAUGGAGCAACACCGCGUGAGUGAAGAAGGGUUUCGGCUCGUAAAGCUCUGUUGUUAAAGAAGAACACGUAUGAGAGUAACUGUUCAUACGUUGACGGUAUUUAACCAGAAAGUCACGGCUAACUACGUGCCAC
This 165-nucleotide ribosomal RNA is filed under the name uncultured bacterium. RNAcentral describes it as "partial 16S rRNA". It matches the Rfam family "Bacterial small subunit ribosomal RNA", at positions 354 to 511 of the family's 1533-position model. The record is from RNAcentral.